This is a long non-coding RNA of Homo sapiens (human), 460 nucleotides long. NCBI's taxonomy places the organism in Eukaryota, Metazoa, Chordata, Mammalia, Primates, Hominidae. The record is from Ensembl.
AAGAGAGGCUCCUCCUUCAUGACAGUCUCCAAUUUCUACAGGGAGCAGCUGAACAAGCUGAUGACCACCCUCCAUAGCCGCACCCCAUUUUGUCCGCUGUAUUAUCCCCAAUGAGUUUAAGCAAUCGGGUGUGAUAGACGCCCACCUGAUCAUGCACCAGCUAGCUUGCAAUGGUGUCCUGGAAGGCAUCCGUAUCUGCAGGAAGGGCUUCCCAAACAGGCUGCAGUACCCGGAGUUCAAACAGAGGUACCAAGUGCUGAACCCCAACGUGAUUCCCCAGGGGUUCGUGGACAACAAAAAGGCCUCAGAGCUGCUGCUUGCAGCCAUUGACCUAGAUGUGAAUGAAUACAAAAUUGGACACACCAAGGUGUUCUUCCGUGCGGGCAUCCUGGCCAGGCUUGAGGACAUGAGGGACGAGCGUCUGGCCAAGAUCAUGACGAUGCUGCAGUGUCGGCUUCGG